AAUGAACGUUGGCGGCGUGGAUUAGGCAUGCAAGUCGAGCGAGAAGCUUCCUUCGGGAAGUGGACAGCGGCGAAAGGGAGAGUAAUACGUAGAAAUCUGCCCCGGAGUCUGGGAUAGCGUUGGGAAACUGGCGGUAAUACCGGAUAACGUCUUCGGACCAAAGAAUUUCGCUCUGGGAUGAGUCUACGACCUAUUAGCUAGUUGGAGGGGUAAUGGCCCACCAAGGCGACGAUGGGUAGCGGGUGUGAGAGCAUGAUCCGCCUCACUGGGACUGAGACACUGCCCAGACAUCUACGGAUGGCUGCAGUCGAGAAUCUUUGUCAAUGGACGAAAGUCUGAACAAGCGACGCCGCGUGCGGGAUGAAGGCCCUCGGGUUGUAAACCGCUGUCAGAGGGGAGGAAAUUUUGACUGAACCUCAGAGGAAGGACGGGCUAAGUUCGUGCCAGCCGCCGCGGUAA
This 459-nucleotide ribosomal RNA is filed under the name uncultured bacterium. RNAcentral's name for it is "bacterial SSU rRNA". It matches the Rfam family "Bacterial small subunit ribosomal RNA", at positions 29 to 523 of the family's 1533-position model. The record is from RNAcentral.